CAUGCAUACAUAUAUACAUUCAUACAUACAUACACUAACAAAAUACCCACACAUACAAGUAAACAAGCAAAACAAAAACCAGAUCUGAAUAAGACUUUCAAAAAUUUUAGUUCUUGAAUGUUUUCUCUGAAAAUUCUAUUUCAUAAAUACACUGACUCUAGGUUAAAAGGUGGCAAAAGAAUCAUGUCCUGCUUGCAUAGUCUCCAAGUCCAAGUUUAGUUAUGAUCCAGCUGUGUCUUCAGAGUUGCAAGAACGACAAACAGAACUGUUGGUGAAAUGAGCCAACCCCAAUUGUCACCCACACGCAUGAGUGAACACAAAACAAUGCCUGAGCUGCCUCUGCCCACAACAGCAAUGGUGGUGACAGAGCCACACGUGUGAAACAACCCUCAAUGCAGAAGUGACUCAAGCGGUAGUGUCUGCACUUUCUCCUGAAGAGGAAGUGACGGGGCUGCAGUGAGGUCAGAAGACAGAUGUGGUGCUGCCCAGUGCAGCCCCUUCUCAGGGAGUGGGCGAAGGAACCCCAUGGGCUGAAGCCGCUCAGCACAGGGCCCUGUGAGUUAUUGCUGUGACAAAAUGCUCAACAAAAGUCAGAAUGCACGACAGGUUUAUUUUGGCUCAGUUCAAGAGUGCUGAGUCCAUGGGGUGGCAGGAGCAUGGGGUGGCUGAUCACAGUGCAACCACGGUCAGGAAGCUGAGAGAGAGGGGGGCUGACGCUCAGCUCCCGAGAUGGUGCCGCCCACAUUUAGGCAGGGCAUUCUAUAGAAGGACGCAGAGCCGGAACCUGCAGCUGCCUCCUUUAGCAGGAAAGCCAGCUCCUGUUUUUCCUAAAGGCAGAUGUGACCAGAAGGUGCUUGUGAGGCCAGAAGAGGGCGUCGGACCCGCUGGAGCCAGAAUUACAGGUGGCCUGCGCGCUGCUGGAGGAGGGUGCUGGUGUAAAUACUGGUCUCCGGCUUCCAUCUCUGGAGGCCCCGCCCCUGUGCCCCUUGAACCUUGACCCCUCCCCAGGAAAGGUCAAGACUACUUCCCCAAGCUAUUUAAACUGCUCCCCCCAAAAUAAACACGUGGUUU
Molecule: long non-coding RNA, 1071 nt
Organism: Myodes glareolus (Bank vole)
Lineage: Eukaryota; Metazoa; Chordata; Mammalia; Rodentia; Cricetidae
Source: RefSeq, a predicted model, not a curated record